RNAcentral lists this ribosomal RNA (497 nucleotides) under uncultured bacterium. RNAcentral's name for it is "partial 16S ribosomal RNA". It matches the Rfam family "Bacterial small subunit ribosomal RNA", at positions 28 to 507 of the family's 1533-position model. The record is from RNAcentral.
GAUGAACGCUGGCGGCGUGCCUAAUACAUGCAAGUCGAGCGAACAGACGAGGAGCUUGCUCCUCUGACGUUAGCGGCGGACGGGUGAGUAACACGUGGAUAACCUACCUAUAAGACUGGGAUAACUUCGGGAAACCGGAGCUAAUACCGGAUAAUAUAUUGAACCGCAUGGUUCAAUAGUGAAAGACGGUUUUGCUGUCACUUAUAGAUGGAUCCGCGCCGCAUUAGCUAGUUGGUAAGGUAACGGCUUACCAAGGCAACGAUGCGUAGCCGACCUGAGAGGGUGAUCGGCCACACUGGAACUGAGACACGGUCCAGACUCCUACGGGAGGCAGCAGUUGGGAAUCUUCCGCAAUGGGCGAAAGCCUGACGGAGCAACGCCGCGUGAGUGAUGGAGGUCUUCGGAUCGUAAAACUCUGUUAUUAGGGAAGAACAAAUGUGUAAGUAACUAUGCACGUCUUGACGGUACCUAAUCAGAAAGCCACGGCUAACUACGUG